This 497-nucleotide ribosomal RNA is filed under the name uncultured bacterium. RNAcentral's name for it is "partial 16S ribosomal RNA". It matches the Rfam family "Bacterial small subunit ribosomal RNA", at positions 28 to 507 of the family's 1533-position model. The record is from RNAcentral.
GAUGAACGCUGGCGGCGUGCCUAAUACAUGCAAGUCGAGCGAACAGACGAGGAGCUUGCUCCUCUGACGUUAGCGGCGGACGGGUGAGUAACACGUGGAUAACCUACCUAUAAGACUGGGAUAACUUCGGAAAACCGGAGCUAAUACCGGAUAAUAUAUUGAACCGCAUGGUUCAAUAGUGAAAGACGGUUUUGCUGUCACUUAUAGAUGGAUCCGCGCCGCAUUAGCUAGUUGGUAAGGUAACGGCUUACCAAGGCAACGAUGCGUAGCCGACCUGAGAGGGUGAUCGGCCACACUGGAACUGAGACACGGUCCAGACUCCUACGGGAGGCAGCAGUAGGGAAUCUUCCGCAAUGGGCGAAAGCUUGACGGAGCAACGCCGCGUGAGUGAUGAAGGUCUUCGGAUCGUAAAACUCUGUUAUUAGGGAAGAACAAAUGUGUAAGUAACUAUGCACGUCCUGACGGUACCUAAUCAGAAAGCCACGGCUAACUACGUG